This 97-nucleotide microRNA precursor is filed under the name Megaselia scalaris. Its description in RNAcentral is "microRNA mir-929". The stretch from base 10 to 83 matches the Rfam family "mir-929 microRNA precursor family". The record is from RNAcentral. Lineage: Eukaryota; Metazoa; Arthropoda; Insecta; Diptera; Phoridae.
CACCCUAAAUGGGGUCAAAUUGACUCUAGUAGGGAGUCCGUUUUUAAAUUGCGACUCCCUAACGGAGUCAGAUUGAUUCCGAUGGCGGUUAAACAAC